Long non-coding RNA from Helianthus annuus (common sunflower), 271 nucleotides. RefSeq lists it as uncharacterized. The transcript has 3 exons. The record is from RefSeq and is a predicted model, not a curated record. NCBI's taxonomy places the organism in Eukaryota, Viridiplantae, Streptophyta, Magnoliopsida, Asterales, Asteraceae.
CACACACCUGGUGUGUACGUGGGAUCGAUCAAGAGCAGGAGGGGGCAAGACCAAACCCUAACUUCACAAAUCCUCCAAAAACAGAAGGGAAUUUAGAGUUUUAGUGAAUGCAUGAGCCCUAAUUCGAGUAAUCUAAGCUUGUCCAACCCUUGGCGUUAAGGAAGAAAGUUCAAGUCAAGGGAAGCCGCAAGGGAAUCAAGACCGAGGUAAAUCUCAUGUCUAGUUAUCAAGCUUGCCCGGAUCGAACACACCUCAAGCCCGUCAAGCGCUC